GAAGUGGCAUUUGAAUGGAGACCUGAAUGAAGAGAGGAGCAAGCCAUGGAAGAUCUGGAGUAAGCACAUUCCAGGACAAGGAGGCCAUGAGUAUGCAGGCAUGUAGGUGGGUGGAGUAUUUAAGGAAAAGCAAGGAGGCCAACAUGGCCAGAGUACUGAGUGAAGAAGAGUGUGGUAUGACAUGAGGUCAAGGAGCUAGCCAGGGGUCUGCUCUUGUAAAGUCUUGAAGGCCAGAGUAAAGAUGUGGAUUAUUCUAAACAAGUAGAGGGUUUUGAAGUGGGAAAAGGCAUGAUCCAAAUAGUAUCUGAAUAAGAUGACCUGGUAUAGAGAAUAGACUUGGGGGGAUAAAGAAGAGAAACAGGGAGACCAGUUAGGAGACUAUCACAGUGGUCCAAAUAAGAGACGUUUAUGGCUUAGCUUAGGUUGGAAGUUUGGAGCAAGUGAAAAGCGGUUGAAUUCAGGUUGUGUUUUGAGGGUAUAGCUAACAAGGCUUGCCAGUAGAUUAGAUGUGGGGUAUGAAGGAAAUAGUAACACGGAGACAAGUCGUUGAUGAUUAUGUGUGCAACUGGGUGGUAUCACUUAGAAAAAGGGGGCUGAUGGGAGGAGCAGCUUUUGAGGGAAUAUCAGGACUUUGGUUUGUUAUCUUGGAUGCCUUUUAGGUAUCUAAGUGUCUGGACAGUGCUCAGACUGUACUUUUUAUCCAAAGGUAUCCAAAGCCACUUUAGAUGCAAAAUGUUUAAAGUUGACCUUUGCUGCUGCCAAAAUAGUAGCCACUGGAGGCAGUCUGCAAGAUGGCAUCUUAGGUUUUUGAGGAAGAAAUUAGAAUACACAAAGGAGGAAAUCAUUCUGUGAUGAAAGCAGUUAUCAAAAAAGUCCUCCAGAUGUAAGGAGUGCCAAGUCAGAGUACCAGUGGAUAACUUCUCCAUCGGUGAAGGAACCAUCCAAAACUGCUAGACAGAAAAAGAGCACUAUAAUUUUGGGAAGUGGUUGAAAAGGAAAAGCUACUAUUAGAAUUGUAUGCGGGCCUCUCACUGUUGUGGCCUCUCCCGCUGCGGAGCACAGGCUCUGGACGCGCAGGCCCAGCGGCCAUGGCUCACGGGCCCAGCCGCUCCGCGGCAUGUGGGAUCUUCCCGGACCGGGGCACGAACCCGUGUCCCCUGCAUCGGCAGGCGGACUCUCAACCACUGCGCCACCAGGGAAGCCCAAUACUUUUGUUUUAGUUAAAAUAACUUGUUACUGUAGAGAACUUAUAUUUUUAAAAAAUGCUAGCUUAUGUAAAACCUUUGUACAAAACGAUCCUCUUUUUAAUGUCUUUGGCAUCAUUGUCAAGUGCCUGUUUGAUUCCUUUCAAAGUGUAACUGUGUGACAGUGGCUCUGUAGACCUUUGGUGCAUCUUGAUUCCUUCUUUUCAUGCUUUGUCAAACAUAGGCUUGGCCGCAAAGAAAAGUGUAAGUAAUGGAAGGAAACACUGCUGGUAAAGAAUGUUAUGCUCCUGAACCUCUACCACCUGGUGUGUCUGGUUUCCUGCCGUGGUGUACUGCAGAAUGUGCAAAAAGGAACAGGUAACGUGUUUGCAUUCCCUGUCUUUUUCAGUCGUUCAGAAUUCUUUAUUUUGGAACCUCUAUUAUGUGGGCAGUCUCUGGUGCUUUCUAUAGAGGAAAAAAGAUAACUCACACAUGGCUUCUGCCUAAUGAGCCCUCUCAGGAAGAAAAACAAAAAAUAAUUGGGAGUUUCAAGUUGUUUCUCAAGUGUCACAACAGAGGUAACCCCGUGGGAGUCAUGAGGAGACUAAAAUUAUCACCAAUUGUGGAGGUGAGAAAAGUUUCACUAAAGGCAGGUGUAGUUGAGCCAAGCCCUAUAGCACAGAAGUAGAAAUUUGGAUAUGUACGAAUGGGAAAAAAGACAUUUUAAGCAUGGGAAAUAGUUUAAUGAAGAAUGGAUGAGAAAUAUGCAUUAGACCUAUUCUAAAUCACCUGGCUUAUUAACUCAGUAAAUCAGAUUUAGUGAGUCAAACUAGCUUUAGCUGAUUACUUAUCCAGGGGAUAGCUGUUCAGAGUAAUUUUUGUCACAGAACAGUAAAUAAAAUUGUUGAACUAUAGCUUUAGGCUUGCUAAGUGAAAUAGAUUGCUGUAGAUGAUUUUCAAGUGACUUACUUGGUAGUAUUCACGAAAUUGGGGGUUAACAAUUGCUUAAGAAAACAUAGAGAAUUGAUUUUAAAUAGUACUUGAAGUGGUUACUGUGUAAAAUAUCUGUUCAGUUGCUCAUGUUAAAUUGAUGUUUAUAAUCCCCGUUGGACAACCGACUACUUGUUUGCAAAUGUUGAUGUGAAUUGCUGUUGCAUAAACUAUAGUAUUGAAUCCCCAGUCUUUGCACUUGAGUUUAACAACUCUGUGGUUUCCUAUCUUCUUCUUGAGACACUUAAUCUCAGGUCCAUCCUCGUCACACAGAGUGGUAAAUAAGAGAACGAUUAAUAUCACCAUUUAAAGAAGUGAGACUGAAAUCUCAACCAUCCUGAACAUAGGAACUGAAGGGGCCUCUCAGCAGUUCAGAGAGUUAUUACCAAGCCUCUCGGCCGAAUUCUGUUCAGUUUUCUCCGUAGCAGAGCCCUCCAGGUCCUUCUUUUGAGCUUAUUUAUUUAUUUAUUUAUUUAUUUAUUUUGCGGUACGCGGGCCUCUCACUGUUGUGGCCUCUCCCGUUGCGG
Molecule: long non-coding RNA, 2701 nt
Organism: Physeter macrocephalus (sperm whale)
Lineage: Eukaryota; Metazoa; Chordata; Mammalia; Artiodactyla; Physeteridae
Exons: 4
Source: RefSeq, a predicted model, not a curated record